Molecule: non-coding RNA, 69 nt
Organism: Podarcis lilfordi (Lilford's wall lizard)
Lineage: Eukaryota; Metazoa; Chordata; Lepidosauria; Squamata; Lacertidae
Source: the annotation of a GenBank genome assembly
GCAUAGCUCAGUUGGUUAGGGCAUUGUGCUGAUAACACCAAGGUUGCAGGUUUGAUCCUGUAUGGGACG